This is an RNA transcript of Populus trichocarpa (black cottonwood), 2157 nucleotides long. It is a transcript of the gene named probable arabinosyltransferase ARAD1, with no coding region annotated. The transcript is spliced from 12 exons. The record is from RefSeq and is a predicted model, not a curated record. Lineage: Eukaryota; Viridiplantae; Streptophyta; Magnoliopsida; Malpighiales; Salicaceae.
CUAAAAGACCUUCCCUUCCUGGAGCCGAGGAUUUGUGAGGAACGAAAGAGAGAAAACGGCAAAUUGGAAUGAGUGCGGCUGACACUUGACGAAUCAGUUACAUAAGAGCAGAGAUUAUUCUUCUAAAACUAAUGAAAACAACAAAGCUAAAAUAGAAAUGGCGAACAAACAACUCCAUAUAUUAUCUUCAAGAUCCAGAUCUCCAAUCCUCCUCUUCACAAUCUGUCUUUUCGCUUUUUCUCUUCUCUUCUUACUCUUCUCUCUCUCCACCCGUCACCCAUCAGCCUCUCCAUACCCUAACACUAACCCCAAUCUCUCUCUCAAACCCGAAACCUCCUUCGUCGCUUCCCUCGAGCACUUCCUCGAUCACAAAUACCCGACAUCCUCCUCCUCCUCCUCUCCGUUUCCUACAGUUAGCGAAGAGGAUGUGUCAAGAUUCGACGAUCAAGUGUUUUCCAAAGAGCGCGAUCGAUUUUACAGAGAACCCUACUACCCGUUGGAUUUGCCAAUUAGGGUUUACCUUUACGAGAUGCCGUCCAAAUUCACCUACGAUUUGCUUUGGCUGUUUAGAAAUACUUAUAGAAACACUGAUAAUCUCACCUCUAAUGGCAGCCCCGUCCAUCGAUUAAUCGAACAGCAUUCUGUUGAUUACUGGCUUUGGGCGGAUCUGAUUGCGCCCGAAUCGGAAAGGUUGUUGAAAAGUGUGGUGAGAGUUGAGAGGCAGGAGGAUGCGGAUCUGUUCUACGUGCCUUUUUUCACAACUAUAAGCUUUUUCUUAUUGGAGAAGCAGCAAUGCAAGGCGCUUUAUAGGGAAGCUCUGAAGUGGGUGACAGAUCAGCCUGCAUGGAAACGAUCGGAAGGAAGGAAUCACAUAUUUCCUAUUCAUCAUCCAUGGUCUUUCAAAUCUGUUCGUAGAUAUGUCAAAAAUGCAAUUUGGUUGUUACCAGAUAUGGACUCCACAGGGAACUGGUACAAACCAGGACAAGUUUUUCUGGAGAAAGACCUAAUUCUUCCUUAUGUCCCCAAUGUGAAUUUGUGUGACACCAAAUGCAUAUCAGAAAGUGAAUCAAAGAGAAGCACCUUGCUUUACUUUCGUGGGAGGCUUAAAAGAAAUGCAGGUGGGAAGAUACGUGCAAAACUUGUAGCAGAACUAAGUGGUGCCGAGGGCGUGUUUAUAGAGGAGGGGACAGCUGGAGAGGGAGGGAAAGCAGCAGCUCAAAUUGGCAUGCGCAAGUCCAUUUUUUGCUUAAGUCCAGCUGGUGAUACACCGUCAUCUGCCAGAUUAUUCGAUGCCAUUGUCAGUGGUUGCAUACCAGUUGUAGUCAGUGAUGAAUUAGAGUUGCCUUUUGAAGGAAUACUUGAUUACAGAAAGAUAGCUUUAUUUGUUUCUUCCAGUGAUGCUGUACAACCAGGUUGGCUAUUAAAAUUCUUGAAAGGCAUUAGCCUUGCCCAAAUUCGGGGAAUGCAAAGAAACCUUGCCAAGUAUUCAAGGCACUUUAUUUAUUCCAGUCCAGCUCUACCCCUAGGACCUGAAGAUUUGGUUUGGAGAAUGAUGGCUGGUAAACUGGUGAACAUCAGGCUUCACACACGGAGAUCACAGCGUGUGGUGAAAGAGUCUAGAAGUGUAUGUGCUUGUGAUUGUAAACGUGCCAACUUUACAGUCCCGGUUCUUUGAUAAUGCAAGGCUUGAUUUCACCAAGCUCAAACAAGCUGUGCGGCCAAUUCUACUAGAAACAGGUUCAAAGUUGAUUGCAUUGUGAUUAAUGGACAUAAUGUUGCAAACCUUCUUAUAAUAGGACAACAUCAAGGCUAUCCAAAAAAGACAACAUCAGGGGAAAAAAAGCUGAAACUAUUCGGCCAUUGAUCUCUUCUUAUGAUCGGCAAUGACUUACACCGCUACUAGAAGGAGGAAAUGGUGUAACCUAUGAACCCAUCCAUGUACCAUCUCUCUUCGCCAGUAACCAGAAAGACAUUACACAAAUCAAGUUGUCACUGUUAACUUUUACAACAUUGUUCAAUCACUAUUUCGCCACUGCCACCCACUAUUUCAGCCUUUUUUGGUCUACCUCAUCCACUCUAAAAUUUUGGUUUAUUACUGGUUUGAAUGUGUUGUGAUGAAAUUUUUGGGUUUGAAUAAACUUUGAGAAUGGUUGUGCA